AUGAAGACAUGGCAGCUUUUCAUGGUCCAUCUUCUCACUCAUUACCUCCUUUUUCUCACAUCCAGCUCCUCUCAACCCACCAACAACCAAAGUAGCAACUACAGUGCCGAUCUUCGUGUGCUCCUAUCAUUCAAAUCGUUCAUAACCAGUGACCCUGCAGAGGCACUGUCCUCUUGGUCCUGGGACCCUGUCAGGAACGACACGAGCACGACGACGUUGCCUGAUUACUGCAAGUGGACGGCCGUGUCCUGCAGCAACCGCCGGCACCCAGGCCAUGUCACCGCCAUACGUCUGCAUGGCUUGGGCCUCGCCGGCACCAUCUGCCCGCAGCUCGGUAACCUGACCCACCUCCGUGCCCUCAGUAUUUCAGCCAACAACUUCGAAGGUGAGAUCCCAGGCAGCCUUGGUGGUUGUGCAUCACUUCGUGCCUUGGACCUGAGGGGGAACUACCUCUCUGGUUCCAUGCCUGCUUCUCUGGGUCUCCUAUCAAAGCUCACAUUUCUCAAUGUUUCCCAUAACAAUCUGAUUGGUGAUAUUCCCAUGUCAUUCUCCAACCUCACAGCCCUCAUGAAGCUUAGUAUGCGCAAAAACCAAUUCCAUGGCCAAAUCCCGAGUUGGCUCGGUAACCUGACAUCACUGACACACGUAGGAUUAGGCCAGAACGGUUUCAGUGGCCAUAUCUCUCCAGCUCUAGGUAAGUUGGACAAUCUUUCUACGUUUGAUAUCAGGGAUAACAAACUGGAAGGCCCUUUUCCUCCAUCGUUGUUCAAUAUUUCCUCCAUCACAUACUUCAACAUUGCCUUCAACAAGUUUUCCGGAUCUUUGCCACUUGAUAUUGGCUUUAAGCUUCCCAAGCUAAAGUUUUUUAUCACAAUUGUGAACCAAUUUAUAGGACCAAUACCAGGCUCCCUGUCAAAUGCAUCGCCACUUGAAUUUUUGGUUCUUGGCGGAAAUCAGCAUAAUGGUCUGAUUCCACGGGACAUUGGCAUCCAUGGUCAUAUCCGGGGAUUUUUGUUAGGAUACAAUUUGCUUCAAACCACAGAGCCUAGUGAUUGGGAUUUCCUCGUAUCCUUAACCAACUGUAGCAACCUGGAAGUACUAGACCUUGAAGAAAACAACCUUGAAGGUGUUAUGCCUGUUUCUAUUGCCAACCUAUCUGCAGAGCUCAACUGGAUUUCACUAGGUAAAAACAAAAUAACUGGGACCCUACCUGCAGGGUUAGGGAAGUUUAAAAAACUUACAAUGUUUAUCCUCACAUAUAGCCUUUUCACAGGCACUUUGCCUCUUGAUAUUGGCCUGAUUUCUAGCCUCCAGUAUCUCGACCUAUCCCAUAGUAGAUUCUAUGGGAAGAUUCCACAAUCAUUUGGCAAUAUCACACAAUUGAGCAGCCUCUCUCUAUCUAAUAACUUUCUAGAUGGCAGCAUUCCAGCAAACCUUGGUACUCUCACAAAACUUAUAUCUCUUGAUCUUUCCGCUAACUCCUUGUGGGGGGAAAUCCCGCAGGAGAUACUUACGAUUCCUUCUCUUACUGUACUUCUCAACCUCUCCAACAAUGCUCUAAGUGCUCCAUUCCAACACAGAUAG
Molecule: ribosomal RNA, 1584 nt
Filed under: Triticum aestivum (bread wheat)
Lineage: Eukaryota; Viridiplantae; Streptophyta; Magnoliopsida; Poales; Poaceae
Description: partial small subunit ribosomal RNA
Source: RNAcentral